UACGUAGGGUGCGAGCGUUAAUCGGAAUUACUGGGCGUAAAGCGUGCGCAGGCGGUUUGUUAAGACAGAUGUGAAAUCCCCGGGCUUAACCUGGGAACUGCAUUUGUGACUGGCAAGCUAGAGUAUGGCAGAGGGGGGUAGAAUUCCACGUGUAGCAGUGAAAUGCGUAGAGAUGCGGAGGAAUACCGAUGGCGAAGGCAGCCCCCUGGGCCAAUACUGACGCUCAUGCACGAAAGCGUGGGGAGCAAACAGG
Molecule: ribosomal RNA, 253 nt
Filed under: uncultured bacterium
Lineage: Bacteria
Description: partial 16S ribosomal RNA
Rfam family: Bacterial small subunit ribosomal RNA
Source: RNAcentral